GAUGAACGUAGCGAAAUGCGAUAAGUAAUGUGAAUUGCAGAAUUCAGUGAAUCAUCGAAUCUUUGAACGCACAUUGCGCCCCUUGGUAUUCCGAGGGGCAUGCCUAUUCGAGCGUCAUUAUCACCCCUCAAGCCUAGCUUGGUGUUGAGGCCUGCUGUCAAGGCAGCCUCUAAAAUCAGUGGCAGUGCUGUCAGGCUCUAAGCGUAGUAAAUCUAAUCGCUAUAGACACCUGGUGGACACUCGCCAGAACCCCCCCAUUUUUUAAUGAUUGACCUCGGAUUAGGUAGGGAUACCCGCUGAACUUAAGCAUAUCAAUAAGCGGAGGA
RNAcentral lists this unclassified non-coding RNA (326 nucleotides) under soil metagenome. Its description in RNAcentral is "partial contains 5.8S ribosomal RNA, internal transcribed spacer 2, and large subunit ribosomal RNA". The stretch from base 1 to 117 matches the Rfam family "5.8S ribosomal RNA", at positions 38 to 154 of the family's 154-position model. The record is from RNAcentral.